RNAcentral lists this ribosomal RNA (390 nucleotides) under uncultured bacterium. Its description in RNAcentral is "bacterial SSU rRNA". It matches the Rfam family "Bacterial small subunit ribosomal RNA", at positions 98 to 524 of the family's 1533-position model. The record is from RNAcentral.
GAAGACGGGUGAGUAACACGUGGGAACGUACCCCUUUGUUCGGAAUACCCUGGGAAACUAGGGCUAAUACCGGAUACGGCCGAGAGGCGAAAGGUUUACUGCAGAGGGAUCGGCCCGCGUCCGAUUAGCUAGUUGGUGUGGUAAUGGCGCACCAAGGCGACGAUCGGUAGCUGGUCUGAGAGGAUGGCCAGCCACAUUGGGACUGAGACACGGCCCAAACUCCUACGGGAGGCAGCAGUGGGGAAUAUUGGACAAUGGGCGCAAGCCUGAUCCAGCCAUGCCGCGUGAGUGAUGACGGCCUUAGGGUUGUAAAGCUCUUUUACCUGGGAAGAUAAUGACGGUACCAGGAGAAUAAGCCCCGGCUAACUUCGUGCCAGCAGCCGCGGUAAU